UAAUACAGAGGUCACAACCGUUAUCCGGAUUUAUUGGGCGUAAAGCGUUUCGUAGGUGGAUUAGAUAGUUACUCUUCAAAGACCACGGCUCAACCGGGGGAAGGGGAGUAAUACUUCUAGUCUUGAAAUAUGGUGGGGUAUCUGGAACUGAUGGUGUAGUAGUGAAAUACGUUGAUAUCAUCAGGAACUCCAAGGGCGAAGGCAGGAUACUAACCAUUUUUUGACACUGAGGAACGACAGCUAGGGGAGCGAAAGGGAUUAGAGACCCCUGUAGUCCUAGCCGUAAACUAUGCUCGCUAGGGGUUAGAAUUUAUUCUGGCCCCGUAAGCUAACGCGUUAAGCGAGCCGCCUGGGGAGUACGACCGCAAGGUUAAAACUCAAAGGAAUUGACGGGGACCCGCACAACCAGUGGAGCAUGUGGUUUAAUUCGAGACGAAACGAAAGACCUCACCCAGCCUUGACAUACAACCGUUUUAAGCACCUANAAAUAGGAGCCUAUCUUUAGAAAUAUUGAUGGUUGAACAGGUGUUGCAUGGCCGUCGUAAGUUCGUGCCGUAGGGUGUUCCCUUCAGUGGGGUAANCGAACGAAACCCUUAUCAAAUAUUAAAUAUUUAUUUGAGACUUCCUAAAUUUAUUUUAGGAGGAAGCAGAGGAUGACGUCAGGUCAGCAUGGCCCUUAUAGCUGGGGCAACACACAUACUACAAUGGAGCCGACAAAGGGUUGCCAAAGANCAAUCUGGAGCUAAUCCCAUAAACGGCUUCUCAGUGGGGAUUGGGGGCUGCAACUCGCCCCCAUGAACGUGGAAUUGGUAGUAAUCGCGGAUCAGCAUUGCCGCGGUGAAUACGUUCUCGGGUCUUGUACACACCGCCCGUCAAGUUAGCAAAGUUGGAGAUACCUUAAAGGCCGCUGUGCGGUCUCNAGGUANAAUCAGCGAUGAGAAUU
This 943-nucleotide ribosomal RNA is filed under the name uncultured bacterium. RNAcentral's name for it is "partial 16S ribosomal RNA". It matches the Rfam family "Bacterial small subunit ribosomal RNA", at positions 521 to 1482 of the family's 1533-position model. The record is from RNAcentral.